RNAcentral lists this ribosomal RNA (468 nucleotides) under uncultured bacterium. RNAcentral describes it as "partial 16S ribosomal RNA". It matches the Rfam family "Bacterial small subunit ribosomal RNA", at positions 28 to 507 of the family's 1533-position model. The record is from RNAcentral.
GACGAACGCUGGCGGCGUGCUUAACACAUGCAAGUCGAACGGAAAGGCCCUGCUUUUGUGGGGUGCUCGAGUGGCGAACGGGUGAGUAACACGUGAGUAACCUGCCCUUGACUUUGGGAUAACUUCAGGAAACAGGGGCUAAUACCGGAUAGGAGCUCCUGCUGCAUGGUGUGGGUUGGAAAGUUUCGGCGGUUGGGGAUGGACUCGCUGGUUAUCAGCUUGUUGGUGGAGUAGUGGCUUACCAAGGCUUUGACGGGUAGCCGGCCUGAGAGGGUGACCGGCAAGAAUACGAAUGAGAUACAGCGCAGACUCCUACAGGAGGAAGUAGUAGAGAAUAUAGCACAAUGACCGGCAGCCUGACGGAGCAACGCCGCGUUCUUGAAAAUAGCGUUCAGGGUGUAAACAGCACUCGCAUGAAUCGAAGCGAGACUGACGGUAAUGGGUAAGAAAGCACCGGCUAACUACGUG